RNAcentral lists this ribosomal RNA (253 nucleotides) under uncultured bacterium. RNAcentral describes it as "partial 16S ribosomal RNA". It matches the Rfam family "Bacterial small subunit ribosomal RNA", at positions 524 to 776 of the family's 1533-position model. The record is from RNAcentral.
UACGGAGGGUGCGAGCGUUGUCCGGAAUUAUUGGGCGUAAAGAGCUCGUAGGCGGUUUGUCGCGUCGAAUGUGAAAACCCGGGGCUCAACCCCGGGCCUGCAUUCGAUACGGGCAGACUAGAGUUCGGUAGGGGAGUCUGGAAUUCCUGGUGUAGCGGUGAAAUGCGCAGAUAUCAGGAGGAACACCGGUGGCGAAGGCGGAUCUCUGGGCCAUUACUGACGCUGAGGAGCGAAAGCGUGGGGAGCGAACAGG